CGUACAUCCAGAGAACUUAGCAGAGAUGCUUUGGUGCCUUCGGGAACUCUGAGACAGGUGCUGCAUGGCUGUCGUCAGCUCGUGUUGUGAAAUGUUGGGUUAAGUCCCGCAACGAGCGCAACCCUUAUCCUUUGUUGCCAGCGGUUCGGCCGGGAACUCAAAGGAGACUGCCGGUGAUAAACCGGAGGAAGGUGGGGAUGACGUCAAGUCAUCAUGGCCCUUACGGCCAGGGCUACACACGUGCUACAAUGGCGCAUACAAAGAGAAGCGACCUCGCGAGAGCAAGCGGACCUCAUAAAGUGCGUCGUAGUCCGGAUUGGAGUCUGCAACUCGACUCCAUGAAGUCGGAAUCGCUAGUAAUCGUAGAUCAGAAUGCUACGGUCGAAUACGUUCCCGGGCCUUGUACACACCGCCCGUCACACCAUGGGAGUGGGUUGCAAAAGAAGUAGGUAGCUUAACCUUCGGGAGGGCGCUUACCACUUUGUGAUUCAUGACUGGGGUGAAGUCGUAACAAGGUAAGCGUAGCGAG
This 529-nucleotide ribosomal RNA is filed under the name uncultured bacterium. RNAcentral describes it as "bacterial SSU rRNA". It matches the Rfam family "Bacterial small subunit ribosomal RNA", at positions 981 to 1509 of the family's 1533-position model. The record is from RNAcentral.